ACACUCCUGCGGGAGGCAGCAGUGGGGAAUAUUGGACAAUGGGCGCAAGCCUGAUCCAGCCAUGCCGCGUGAGUGAUGAAGGCCCUAGGGUUGUAAAGCUCUUUCACCGGUGAAGAUAAUGACGGUAACCGGAGAAGAAGCCCCGGCUAACUUCGUGCCAGCAGCCGCGGUAAUACGAAGGGGGCUAGCGUUGUUCGGAUUUACUGGGCGUAAAGCGCACGUAGGCGGACUAUUAAGUCAGGGGUGAAAUCCCGGGGCUCAACCCCGGAACUGCCUUUGAUACUGGUAGUCUUGAGUUCGAGAGAGGUGAGUGGAAUUCCGGGUGUAGAGGUGAAAUUCGUAGAUAUUCGGAGGAACACCAGUGGCGAAGGCGGCUCACUGGCUCGAGACUGACGCUGAGGUGCGAAAGCGUGGGGAGCAAACAGGAUUAGAAACCCCGGUAGUCCC
Molecule: ribosomal RNA, 447 nt
Filed under: uncultured organism
Description: partial 16S ribosomal RNA
Rfam family: Bacterial small subunit ribosomal RNA
Source: RNAcentral